GAUGAACGCUGGCGGCGUGCUUAACACAUGCAAGUCGAACGGCGAAGCCGGAACUUCCUCUGCUUGAUCAGUGGCGAACGCGUGAGUAACACGUGAGCAAUCUGCCCCUGACUUUGGGAUAAGCUCUGGAAACGGCGCCUAAUACUGGAUACGAGCUGCGCAACGAUCUUCAGCAGCUGGACAGAACUCCGGUCAGGGAUGAGCUCGCGGCUUAAGAGCUUGUUGGUGAGGUAACGGCUCACCAAGGCGUCGACGGGUAGCCGGCCUGAGAGGGUGACCGGCCACAAGGGGACUGAGAGAGGGAGCAGACGGGUACGGGGGGCAGCGGUGGGGAAUAUUGCACAGUGAGAGAAAGCCGGAUGCGGAGACGCCGGGUUAGGGACGACGGUCUGCGGGGUGUGAACCGCUGUUGGCUAAGAAGAAGCGGUAGUGACGGUACCUGAAGAAAAAGCGCCGGCUAACUACGUG
This 468-nucleotide ribosomal RNA is filed under the name uncultured bacterium. RNAcentral describes it as "partial 16S ribosomal RNA". It matches the Rfam family "Bacterial small subunit ribosomal RNA", at positions 28 to 507 of the family's 1533-position model. The record is from RNAcentral.